GUGCUAGGAUUACAGGCGUGAGCCACCGCGCCCGGCCUCAGGUAGUCUUAAUAGAGAAAAUAGAAACCUGUGUAGCUAAGAGCCUUUGGGCUGCCAGUGUGCAUCUUGUCACGUAUGAGUUGCUGAGGCCAAGCAGAUCAGAAAGGCGCCUUGUUUAUAACAGGUAGGGGUUCUCUACUUGCGAAGCAUUAACUGUGGUUGGAAACAAAAACUCUUCCUUUGUAUUGCUUGUCUGUGUCAAAGCCAGGAAACGGGGGCUCUUCUACAAAUAGCAAGGGGGACAAAAGCACUGACUUUAAAAAAGCUGUGGUUAAGAUGCAAAAGGUUAAUUUUCCAUGCUUUUCGCUGGAGAGUUGCAGAAGACUUUAAAGAUCAUUUGGUCUAACUUCCUUGUCCCCAAGACAAAGAACUGAGGGGUAGAAAUUGCCUGAGGUUCCAUAGCUGUGAGCACCUGGAAUCCUGAUGUUCAGUGCAGUGUUCUGUCCCCCUUACCAGUCCUCUGUCCCUCCGUAAGGGCAGCACCCAGGGUCCCGUCAGUGCAGAAUAUCGUGGGGGCUACAUGCAUUUCGUUUUACAUAUAGAGAGAUGGGGUUUCCUUGUGUUGCCCAGGCUGGACUCCAGCUCCUGGGCUCAAGGGAUCCUCCAGCCUUAGCCUCCCACGUGGCUGGGGUUACAAGCGUGCACCACAGUGCCCGGCUGUGCAUUUUUUUUUUUUUUUUUUUGAUCGAAGACCCUGAAUGUGUGCCUAUUUUUAUCUGUGUCACUUUCACUUGUCUUUUUCCUUCCAUCCUUUCAGUGGUAGCAGGUGCCCUUGAUAAUCACUGGACCCUCAGCUGAAAGAGCUGAGGAGGCAGGAGCUAAGAUGCAGCUCAGUUCAUCAAAGCCCACCAGGCCCCCUCAGCUGCCUUUUCAUGCCUGCCACACGGAUGACCAUGGAAUCAAAGUCCAAAUCUGCUUCCCCUGGCCUGAUCUUACUUGGCAGUUGAGACCUAAGAAAGCCUCCUAUGGUACUUUAUCUCCUGUGGCACUUACCACUUUCUAUCUGGUAUUAUUUUUAUCCAAUUUAGCAUUCCUUUUAGAUUGUACGCUCCUGGAGGGCAGAGUACCCGUACUGAUAUUUGUGUCUUCUUCCUUCUCAGGGCACCUAACAUAGCCUUGCACACAGAAACAAUAAACCAUUGUUGAAUGAACAGGUCAAUCAGAUUGUGUUGUUCUAUUGCUUUUUCAGGAAGAAGUCCAGCUGGUAGCCUUUAAGUCAGAGAAGCAGCAAUGGAGCAACAGAAUCAAAGCCACCCUUGUGUUCAAGGCAGUCACCUGAUGAGAUAUUCUGAGACACGCUAAGCUAAGAGAGGUUAAUGACUAUAGUUGGUCCACUUGUGACUGGUGAAAUUAGCUUUGCUCACAAGUAGUAUUUUGUGAGUAGUGGUUGUGCUGAAAAGUAUCACGUACCAGGUGUAAUUGGUUGUCUCAAAAAAUCUAAAGAAACCUGUUCUAAUAUAUAGAAACAGCAAGACAGAGAAGGUAAGUUUGAAACUCUAUGCUUAUCACCUAGAUCUCUGCCACUCGAUUUUAUGUAUUUUAAAUCAAAUCCUCAGGGUGAUCAUUCUGCACUGCAGUAAUCGUGAUGAUCAUCGGUCUGGACGUGUUAAAGAGAUUGUCAACCGAGCUAAUGUGGGCACUGAGCUCUAGUUGCUCUUUAGAUUUAAGUUCCUAGGUAAAGGCUGCUUUUAUUUCAAUCGCUCCCCUCUGAGGCUUGGCGGGGCAGAAUGAGUGGGUGGGUGGUCAGAAUCGGCAAGCCGAGAGCUCAGAGGUUGGACUGUGGCUUCGUCUGCUGUGUGUUUGGUUUGCUGCAUCCAUCAAGGAGCAAUCUUGGUUUCAUCUCCAUCAGUUCCCAUUAAACAGAAGCACUAGUCAACAUGUCAGUGUAACAUAUACUUACGUUCCUGUUUUCUAGAUUCCAUUUCACAGAGUGGAUGCAACUGGGUGAGAGUCGAACAUACCGUGCGUUGCUCAGUUGAAAGUAAACACAUUGGCUGCCACUAUUAUAGAAGAGAAACUUGUGGGGCAACGCUAAUCUUCUGCAUAAAUUUCCCCAACCUGUGUUGAAGCAAAACCCAGAAAUCAUUACAUCUGUAAUAUUCUAUGGAAGAAUCUGACACCCACGCCUUUCUCUUCCGUGUGGACCCUGAAGAGUCUACUCACGAUCACACCAGAAUGACUUCCCAAGUUAAGAACAACUUGGAAUAAGCUUUACUGAAAAUGAACUGGCUACUGAUCUCUCACGGUAUAUUUAAAAUUCUCUUUUUGAAUCUUGAAUCUCUUCAAGGUCGGGUACUGAUGUUCCUUCAGGAAUAAAACAAAAGGGGGAAAACCUUCAAAGUAUUACUCUGAAUUUCCUGUGUAAUGUCCUUCCAAGCACUGUUUCUGACCAUGUCUCAUGUGGUAUUCCAAAAGAGCAUCAGUUAAACUGCGUAUCUAAGUCAGGAAACUGUUUUUAAGCUGGUUUAGAUUCCAAAUGUAUACAAAUGAAGUCACUUUAAUCCUAUAAAUACUUCUUAAUUUAUUUUUAAAAAAUUGUGCUGUUUACCCUUUUACGGGGCAACAAGCUAUGUGAAAAGUACAAAACUUUUUGUCAAAUGUAAUAUUGAGAGUGCUUUUGACAUAGUUCACUGGUUUAUCAUCUGGAUCAGUAUAUACUGCGCAACGGGCAAGGCUAGAAUCCAUGAACCAAGCUGCAAAGAUCUCAAGCUAAAUAAGGCGGAAAGAUUUGGAGAAACAAAAGAAGGAAAUUCUUUCCUAUCCAAUGUGUACUCUUCAGACUAAUGCACUCUUUCUAUCAAGCCUUCUAAACUGUUAAAUAAAGUUUUCCAAACAAGCAUUUAAACUUCAUUACACAGAAGAGCAACAAGAAUGGUAUCCCGCCAGACAAAAGGCAGGAGGGAAAAAAAUAUAUAUACUGAGUUCAAUGGGUAAGCCUGAAUGUAGCACAGUUCUUCACAACCGAUGGGGGUAAUUCAACAUGGUGUCCAACAACGUUCUAACGACGUGCUUCAUCUCAACUGGUUACUAUGAAGCAAGGUGUAAAUGUUUGGCCCCAAUCGGGCUUCAGAAAUGGUUCUUUUUUCAUGACGAGCAUGUCUGUCCAGCUAUCAAUCAUGUUUGUUUGCACCAAAUCCCAAGCCAUUAAAAUACGACUAAUUUUAAGUUAAACAGAAGUCGUCUGCUCCAAAUUCGCCAUCAACUAUCCAUGCUACUGCAUUCCUCUGAAUGAAGACAAGAUGAAAUGUUUUGGGGGCAGGGAGAGAAGAGGAGAGGGAGAGAAAAAAAGUUACCAGUUAGAAAGUUUCAAAAUCAUCAUCAUGACAUUACAAAAUACAGUGACAUUAAAAAGUAGUCACAUCACAGCAAACUAUUGAUGCUUUCAUCAUCAUAAUCAUUAAAACAAUGUGUUUGCAUCAUGUUUUAGGCUAAAUAUUACAGUCUAAACUCAUGAUUAUUUUGAAUACUGGAGAAACCCAAGUGAACAAUCGUGUUAGAAAUAUCAUACUUUUAAAAUUAACCUUGAAAUAGUUACACAGAGUAGAAAAAUCUUCAUGAUAGCUCAUAAUAGAAAAGAAGAAAGAAAGAUCUGGCAGUCUAAGGUAGAACUAUGCAUCAUAACUACAUAGCUAAUACCUCUCUUUUAAGUUGCUUACAGUUUGGAAGUCACCUCACUCCAUUCUGGGGGGUGUGGAGCAGCUGGAGAUGUAAUUCACACACUAUACAGUGCACCUCUUUAAAAGUAUUCACAGGAAGGUGCAACCACCAACAAUCCAUUUUAGAACAUUUUUACCAUCCAAUUAGUAAUCACACAUCCCCUUCAACCACCCCCAAGAAACCACUGUAUUUACUUUCUACGGAUCUGUCUAUUCGAGACCAAUUUAUAUGAACGGAAUCACAACACGUGGCCUUUUGCAUCUGGCUUGUCACUCACCCACACUGUAGCAGGUGUAUCAGUACUGCACCCUGCCCCAUUUUAUAUAGCCCUCAACCCCCCCCCCAAACCCAAACCAGCCUAUAACUCUACUGUUAUAAAAAAAAAAAGGUCAGCAAAUUCUCUCUUUUGAAAUGGAGUUGUCAAGUGAAAUAUUUAUUAUAGUAUCUUAUGGUGUUACAAUUUUUAAAUGUUGUUUUCUUUAGCUUCAUCUAUAUUUUUCAAAUGUUCUAUUCCAAACAGGUAUUGCUUUAAUUAGAAAGAAAUGUGUGUGAGGAGGAGGAGGAAAGACCCCAAAAGGUAUGUGCAAAAAAGUCACAUCACCAAGUAUUUGGUUAUAUAAAAGUUGUUUUUCUAUUUCAGGUGAAAAUGAAUUUUUUAGGGGUGUCCCCAUGCUGGCAAAGCACCAAGUGCUGAACUGGACCCAGAUCUUACAACUGUGCGGAAACCUGGCCCACCCGCCACAGUGAGCACCCACACUGCUCAGAGCAGCGUGGCUCCUCCCCGUGCCACGGCAGGGCCACAGCAUCUCCUCCUGCGGGGUGAAUCUGUCGCCGUACACCUCGCAUUUCCCUACUUUUUCAAAUUAAACGUUUAUUUGAAGAAAUACUUUCCAAAUAACUGAUAACAUCAGAAAAUCACCGUCACCGUUAUAAAUCUAUAAAGACUUUAUCUUAGAGGAGUCCUUGAAAAACUCAAAACAGGACAACAAAAGAGCGUAUGGAUUUCUGGUCUUAGUUAAUGUCCCAGAGGAAUGGUAGAAUGUCACAUAGUAUCUGCAAACACAAAAAGGCCCUGCCAGGUGCCGAGCAGCUGAACGGCAGUUCUUAAACAUCUGGACCCUCACACUCUCCAUGCUUUGUGCUCUCAUCUCUGGCUGCAUAGCCUCACCUGCCUGUGAGAAAUGGUCAAGCCUCCUACAGUUUGUACCACAAAGACAAAAACAAAGCAUAGAGAAUGUACUUUUUCAAACCAUACAGGCUACCCUGACAACCCUCCUCCACUGAGACUCACUUCCCAGAGAGCAGUUAGUCAUCUUUUCUUAAUAAAACAUUUAGGUGGGACAUGCUGAACAAAAAAAAUCUGUUUAUCUGUUUCUAGGUAAAUUACUUCCUUCUAAGCAAACUAAACAUUUGACUUGCUCCACCUGACAAAAGAGAAAAAGAGAAGAGGCAGAUUAGCCGCGUUUCCCUCCUGAACUGAAGAGGUCUCCAAGGAGAAAGAUCGCAGCGUUCAAGUGUGGCUCAACUCAAACGUUCCUAUGUUCGAAGGAAAAUGCUUUUGUGAAGACACAAUGCAAGCAGGAUUCCAGCUGCAGAGGCAGCGAAAACAGGAUUCGAUGGAAUCGAGGCCAGAAUGACGGGCUUUAUGACCGAGCGCUGCUUGCUCUGUCAGUCUGGGAAACCCGCUGCUUUUGCAAGCGUAAAACCUACGUCCAGUUUUUCCAUAUGUUGCUAGCACAGUGAAAAAGCUUGAGUGUGGCACAACGUUUUGGGGAAAAGGUUUCCUAAUGGCUCUAUUUUAUACUGGCAUUUUAUACAUGAAUAUUUGGAGCUGUGGAGGGUCCCUGCAAGGAAGUGGCAAAUGGGUUACUGUAGCCACCUUGGGAGACAGCGUAUUCACUGCAUCUGACUGGCUUCAAAGCAUUUUCAGAGCCAUUGUAAAGCCCUUGAGUCAUGAGAAAACUAAUCUCUUUACUUCGUAAUUGUGUCAUUUUUAGCUCUAAACAGAAUAAAAUGUGGUUUAAUUACAUGAUUCAUCAGGCUUGGUUCUAAGUUAGUUUGGGAUUUAAAAAAAGUGUGUCAUCAAUAGAGAUAAUGGUAGCUGUGCAUGCUUUUGAGCACCUCUAGGAUCCGUAUUUUCAGAGAGAGCUAUGGGGGAUUCUGCAACACAACCAAGAGAAAAAAAAAAACUAGCAGAAGCAAGACUGAAUAGACCAUGGGGGAAGAGAUCUUAAGAACAGGAGGAACUAUAAAGCAAAUAGAAGCAGAAGGCUUUAACAUAUUCAGACCAUCAAAAAAGUCAAUUAGAAACCAAUGGAGAAUUUGUAAGACUAUAACAUGGUUAAACAGGUAACAAAUAAUUUGGAAAAAAGUGACUAACGAACCACUCCUCUCUCCUCUCAAUCUUGUCUGACACUGAUUUUUUGGGUAAAGAAAGAAUAGAGAAAUUCAUAUGCUUGAUGUUUAAAAUCUAAAUCCCUAAAUAACCCCCUUUUUCCAAUCCUUAAAUAUACAUUAUUCUUAAAGGAAAAAUUCGUGUUACUUUAUGAUCCUCUUAUCUAUUGAAAUCAGUUUUUGGUCAAGAUAGGGACAUCUACAAUAAAUGGAACAUAACCAAAAGUGUUUACCAA
Long non-coding RNA from Lemur catta (Ring-tailed lemur), 6326 nucleotides. RefSeq lists it as uncharacterized. The record is from RefSeq and is a predicted model, not a curated record. The transcript is spliced from 4 exons. NCBI's taxonomy places the organism in Eukaryota, Metazoa, Chordata, Mammalia, Primates, Lemuridae.